Molecule: unclassified non-coding RNA, 374 nt
Filed under: soil metagenome
Description: partial contains internal transcribed spacer 2 and large subunit ribosomal RNA
Rfam family: 5.8S ribosomal RNA (bases 1-120)
Source: RNAcentral
GAUGAAGAAUGUAGCGAAAUGCGAUAAUUAAUGUGAAUUACAGAAUUCCGUGAAUCAUCGAGUCUUUGAACGCACAUUGCGCCUCAUGGCAUUCCGUGAGGCAUGCCCAUCUCAGCGUUAGAAAAUAUUCUCAAAUUUUAGUUUUGUGCUAAAAUUUGGAUCAUGUCAAGGAAGCUAUUACUAUUAUUGUGAUCGCUCUUUGGAAAUUGAUAGGUCUUUGAGUUGCUACUCAUAGAACGUGAUGAAUCUUUCUUCGUUCUAUUGUAAUUCACUCUGGUAGUCCUAAAACUUGUAUGCCUGUGGCAUAUCUUGUAAUUUGACCUGAGAUUGGGUAGGGAUACCCGCUGAACUUAAGCAUAUCAAUAAGCGGAGGA